UACUUUUUUGUGCCCUUGAGCUGUCUCCUUUGCUGUAAAAAAAAAAAAAAAAAAAAAAUGAAGAGUUUUAUCCUUGUAGUGACCAAUGGAUUAGGUGGCUCUGUAUCUCUUCAAACCUGGCUGUUAUGAUUAGCAUGGAUUUGGCCUUUCUCUGCCUCUGUGGUGGAUAGUGGAGUGUUUCCCAUGUGGUAUUGGUGUGCUGGAUAUCCCUUCACUGGUAGCCUGGUAACAUACACUCCCAGGUCUUUCUCUGCCUCUGUGGUGGAUAGUGGAGUGUUUCCCAUGUGGUAUUGGUGUGCUGGAUAUCCCUUCACUGGUAGCCUGGUAACAUACACUCCCAGGUCUUUCUCUGUGGUGGAUAGUGGAGUGUUUCCCAUGUGGUAUUGGUGUGCUGGUUAUCCCUUCACUGGUAGCCUGGUAACAUACACUCCCAGGUCUUUCUCUGUGGUGGAUAGUGGAGUGUUUCCCAUGUGGUAUUGGUGUGCUGGAUAUCCCUUCACUGGUAGCCUGGUAACAUACACUCCCAGGUCUUUGUCUGCCCCUGUGGUGGAUAGUGGAGUGCUUUCCAUGGGGUAUUGGUGUGCUGGGUAUCCCCUCCCAAGGUGCAAGACAUUAGAUUUUCCUUCAUUGAAUUGUAGCAGACACUUUUUGAUCCAUUGCUGUAGCUUGGAAAUGUUGUCUUGUAGGAAAUCUGCAGUCAAGGGGUUGAGUAUAUAGUGUUGGGCUUUGUGCUGUAGUACAUUAUAUCUAUCUAUCUAUGUGAGAGAGAGAGAGAGAGAGAGAGAGAGAGAGAGAGAGAGAGAGAGAGAGAGAGAGAGAGAGAGAGAGAGAGAGAUUUGUGACUGACUCUCUCAUGUUAUAAUAAUAUCUGUCUCAUACUAUAACAAUAUAACUCUUUCCUUAGGUAACUUACUUAAUUAAUAAUGUCUUGUGCUUUACCUGUCUAUUUGAGCAUGUGUGUGUGUGUGUGUGUGUGUGUGUGUGUGUGUAAGGCUGUCAGUUCUACUCUCUCUAAAUGUAUGUUUCUCUCUCUCUCUCUCUCUCUCUCUCUCUCCUACUUACUCUUCCUCCUCCGUUCAUCAAAUUUAUACCCAUUUCCUUCCUUCCUUUCCUCUCCUUCCUUAAAUCUCUCUCUUCCAUUUCAUUCCAUUAAUAAAAAUUUGUA
Eriocheir sinensis (Chinese mitten crab) is the source of this 1165-nucleotide long non-coding RNA. RefSeq lists it as uncharacterized. The transcript is spliced from 3 exons. NCBI's taxonomy places the organism in Eukaryota, Metazoa, Arthropoda, Malacostraca, Decapoda, Varunidae. The record is from RefSeq and is a predicted model, not a curated record.